Molecule: long non-coding RNA, 4809 nt
Organism: Harpia harpyja (harpy eagle)
Lineage: Eukaryota; Metazoa; Chordata; Aves; Accipitriformes; Accipitridae
Exons: 3
Source: RefSeq, a predicted model, not a curated record
CAGCCCAUCAUGAAGUGUGGAGUUUGCUCAACUACAUCUGUCGCUGCUGGCCAGGUAAGAGAGAGAGAGACACCGCUGAGGUCUGAGAAAACUCCUUGGGGCGGGAGGUCUCAAGGUGACAAAACUGAGGACCGGCUCGGGGACCUCCAAACUGCUGUUAAACACCUCGAAGCUCUUGGGGAAAUCCUUUCACAUGCAUUGACUUGCAUAUAACAGCGCCGUACACGUCUUCGUAUUACGUUACUUGACAAAAAUGGGGCUUGAACUCUGUUAAACGUGGCAUCCACCCAAAUUUAAGGUGCUGAAUAAUUCGCCCAUCAAUUUACGUCUGUCUGGGGGUGAGGUCUUUUCAGUCAACGACUUCCUUUGCUGUGGACUCGGAAUUUUAUGAGAACGAGCAACGGGAUGAAAUUAGCUCGACGUUAAAAAAAACAACCAACCCUUACGGGUUAACCCUCUGUUGACCGCCCGGGGUUGGGUUCGCAGCCCCGGCUUGGCCGGGCUCUGCCCGUACCCGCCACCAGAUGGUACCCGGGCUGUACAAAUCAUCUCCCUCAGCUCCCCCCGCCGCAUUCAACCACGAAAUCGACCUCAAAAAGCGGCUGGAAGUGAUGUUCGUUGCUCAGCUCGCCUGCCAGAGCCCACUAGGGAUCCUGCCCCCAGCCUUAGUGCCUUGCGUGCUCCAUCCCUCGGGUCGGACUGGCUCGCAGGUCCCCCCCUUCUUUAGGUGUGAUGGUAUUUUACUGUCCUCAAAAGUAGUGCUUCUGGCCGUUUCCACUGCGUCCUGCAAAAGCCAUCAUCUGCUGGGCACGCAUCUCACCCUCGCGAUGACCGUAGCCAUCGCGAGCAUGAAACGAGCCAGGCCCAGCCAAGCCUGGAUGUGCUCGGCGCUGUACAAAUGUCAAGGACCCGGGCUGAAUUCGGGAGCUAAUUCCCCACUCGAGUUGCAUUUCUACACAAAAAUCCUAAAAUACAUUUGUAGGUGCCCGUGGUUUUUUUAGGAGGAUGAUAAUAAUAAGCUAUGUCACAAAUCGACCAAUUUGGGCGACCUUGCAAGCACUCUUGCAAAAAUUAAAUCAGAAGACGACCUCUUUCCCAAACCAGGUGCCUGCAGGUUUGUUUUUGUUACAUGUCCCUUGCCAGAUCUCCCUGUGUCCAAAUACUAGAUCUGCUAGACAUUCAUUCCCACUCCAGCUCCCUGCCCCUGGGACAGAAAGGAUGGCAUUUCUCCCGGGAUGCAGCCGGGGAGCGCUGGAGCAGUGCUGCGAACGUACACCAGCCCUUCCCCGUGGGGACAUUUGAUGGAAUAAGCUUCUGGACUCAAGACUCAAGUAUUUUACGCCUCUAUAAGCUCUAAUGCAGGAGAGUGGUCGAUGAGUUGCCAGUGCUGCCAUGGGCACCAAGGGGGUGGUACGAGUGACACUGCUGCUGUGCUUUCUGAAAUGAAAGGUUUGUUAUCCUUGCUUUUUCAGUGUCUUCUAGCAGGCAUUUUCACCCCUGAAGCAAAGUAAAAACAAGACAACCCAAAACCAGGAGAGCGCUUGGCUCUCACCCGGGGUCUGCGAGAUGUUACUCGGGGCUGGAGAGCUUUGUGUCCAACAGCGAGUGAAUUUUAGGUGGUUUAGCCCUUACCCUGGAACCCUCACCAGCAGGCAUGCGGUGAGAGAUCAGUCCUUUGAUCUGUAUUACAUCUUCCAGAGCAAAAGUCACUCUGGAUAUACAGUCUUAUGAUUUCCCAAAUAUCUGUAGAAGUGCAAUCUAUGAGUGCCCUCCUAGCGCUUCCAAAUGUAGCAUGGUUGGAAACGGUGGCUUAGGGCUGAUCUCUCCCUGGCAUGGUAAUAGGGAAUAAAUAAUUAACACCAAUCUGUUAUUAACAAAUCUUUUCUUCCUGCAGGUUAUUUACACACCAUGAAUUUUACCUAUGGAAAACAACUCUCUGGUGGAUCUUCCUAGGGAUAAAUGCAACUGUCCAGAUAAUUCCAGCUCGUGAAACAGUUCUACUGUAUUUUAGCAGGCUUGCAUCUCAGUAUGUCAAACCAUUUGUGGCUUGGAAGGGUUGACCCUCCUUCAUCUUCAUCACAGAGAGCACUGAUGUCCUUCUCUGGACACGUGGAGGUUGUGUAUGGGUCACAGCUCUGCUCGGCUUAGGACCCCACCAUGGGUCUGUAAAUCAACCGCGACUACAUGAAUGCCGUGAAUCAGCUCUUCACUUCAAGGAGUGAAAAUAAAAUCCGGACCAAGCUCUGAAAGCCUUGCUUGAACCCUUUGCAAGUCACUUUCUAAAAUUAGAUUUAGACAUUUAGGUCAUUAUAAAGCAGAUGCUGCCACCAAAUUUGUUUGGAUGUAAAACUCACUGCGGCACUUUUGCCAGUAGAAACAAAUUAGAAAAUGCUGGCUAGCUCAUCAAAUCCUACUGAUUUAUUCAUUUCGAACUAAAGCAGUUGCAGAAAGUUCUUAAGUACUGCGUCUCUAUCCUUGGCAGAUACUCAUGAAAAAGGCAAUGAUUUUAAUUUUUACUGCAGGAAAUGGAACACAUCUGGGAUCAAGAAGUCUCUUUUAUGGUGGCCAUCACUUCAGGUGGGAGGGGAGGAGGAGGAAGAGGGGAGGAGGAAAUUAAUUUCCCAGAAAAGGCCACAAUAUAUUUAAAAAAAUAUAUAAACUAAAAUAUUGUUCAGAAUGGUUUCUCUUGGUUGAAGUGAACAUUAUCCGUUUUGUUCUCCCAGGAUAGCUUCUGGAUUUGAAGAUGGGUUUUUACAGUGCAGCUAGCAUUUCUGAUUUAACUAAUAUUCUUGCAACCAUGUAGAGAUACGAUUGUGUGGAAAUGAGAUUGCCUUUCUAUGCUCCACGCAAGCAGACAGAGGAAAGUGGAAGCUAUCAGUGACCUCUUCUCCCACAAAAGCCACCCAAUAUAUGCACAGUGUUGCCAAGCUGCAAUGUUUUCACAAGUCCCAUGAUUUUUAGUUGGGAGGAAGAAUGGGUUUAGAAGCCCCACACCCUGGAAGCAGCUAAAUUAGCAUGUACCACCCUAAAAUAUCUCGCAUCGCAGUAAGCCAGAGUUAAACAAGCAGAGCCCCUAAACUAUAAUUUACAAACAACAACAACAUUUUAAGCCAUCCCACCAUUUUGGGAGUCCGAAUGUCAGUGUGUACAACCAGCACACAAACAGCAUCUAACAUUUUCCUAUUUCUGCUUGGCUGCGACUGCUUUAAACAAUUACUUCAGAAGGAUUUGACGUCCAACUGGGCAUAUGCUGUGCUGCUUGUGGUGAGGAGACCAGAGCCCUGUUGACCAUCAGUGGACACGUCAGGGAUGAUCUCUUAAUUACCGGACCCGUUGAGGCUGUUCUAGCUGCAAGAGCUGUCCUGGGGUUUCCCUCCCACUCUUCAUCGGGAGUCGAGGUGAGGGGAUCUCUGCUCCCCGUUCUAAGGGACUGUCCUCAGCUCAAUCCACUCAAGGUGUUAGGGCUCUUUCGCUAAUUCAAAGCAGGCCCAUUUUUAGUCUUUUUCAUCUCGAAUGAGUCAUUUGGAGAAGAUGUAGCAGAUCUUACAAACCAUGACACUACUCAAACCCAACACAGGACUGCAGAGACUGAGGCUCUCGCAAGCUCCUGCGGGGGAAACGAGAUCUCAAUGGCAUUUCUGUCUCAGGUCUGAAGGAGCCCGGCCCCGUUCCUCUUCCUUCUCAGAAUACAAACAAUGUGUAGAACAGAAUAUAUAUUGCUACUGCGAGCUGGGGUUUUGUUCAUUGUUAAUGCCAUGAAAAAUACAGACUUUUCACACAGUUUUCUUUGUAAAGCCAACAGUUGGCUACAAGCAAAUGCUCUGUAAGGACAGGAUGCACAUUACAGGGAAGAAUGCUACUGGACUGGCCAAGUCAGGUCCGCAAAACCAGUGAAAUGACAUGAUUAAAACUUCCUGUGCAAUCUCAAUUCAGGGCCCUUUUGCAUAAGCCUUUUAAUAAAUAAUUAAAGAACCAUUUUUGUCACCACAUCCCUGUUUCAGAGUGGAAAAGCAUUCCAAAAAUGAGGUGUCUGCAUGUUCUGUCUUCUUGUUGCCUGCUGCAUCUUGCAAUAUGCUGUUUAAACACUUUCUUGAAAUCAUGAUACUUAAUGUCACCAUCAGGUUUAUGAUGGUUCUCAUCUCGGUCUUGCCCAGUGAACACUGCGGAUGUUUAUUAAUAAUGUACUUUCAUACCAAUUUGAGGCGUGAAGAUUCAACUCCUCUGAAUUCCCCCCCCCGGGGGAACAAGGGCAGAGGGAAAUGAACAUCCGAAGUGUCCACCUUCUCUGCUCAGCUGCUGCCUCCAGCUUGGGGUUCUUUCAGAGAAUUUAGAUGUAUGUAGUAUUUCAUUUAUUUGACACGCAACUUUAGCUGACCCCAGUUACAAUGAGUUAUUGACAGCUCUGGAGCUCUGAAUCAGAGUUCUCCAGAAAUUAAACCAUGAAUAACUGGUGACUGUGUGGGGAAUUGAUUAAGGGACCAGGUGUUAGAGGCAACCCAGCCUCUUUUCCUAAACAAGCCUGAUUCGUGCCUGGAACAGGUCCAUCCUCUGCAGGGAAACAGGCAGCUGUCACGUAGGAAAAAGAAAAAGUAGUAUCACAGAACUGCCGUUCAUUGGGCUGAUUUACGUGAGGCUGAUCUAAAGCUGAACAAGUUCCCUUUGGGGUAUUCUUAACUCAUUUUCAUAUUUUAAUGUGCCUUUGUGUAUGACUUCCCUUAUGUCUAGUUGUGAUAACCACACGAGGAGAGGUGAUGCUACCCGGAGGGACUGGGUCGUCUUUCACACGUGUACCGUUACCCACUGUCAGAG